Molecule: ribosomal RNA, 676 nt
Filed under: uncultured fungus
Lineage: Eukaryota; Fungi
Description: eukaryotic LSU rRNA
Rfam family: Eukaryotic large subunit ribosomal RNA
Source: RNAcentral
CCCGCUGAACUUAAGCAUAUCAAUAAGCGGAGGGAAAGAAACUAACAAGGAUUCCCCUAGUAACUGCGAGUGAAGGGGGGAAAGCUCAAAUUUAAAAUCUGGGGGUCUUUGGCCCAUCGGAGUUGUAAUUUAGAGAAGCGUCUUCCGCGCUGGACCGCACACAAGUCUCCUGGAACGGAGCGUCAUAGAGGGUGAGAAGCCCGUCUUUGGUACGGACCCCCAGGGCUUCUGUGAUGCGCUCUCGAAGAGUCGAGUUGUGUGAGAAUGCCGCUCAAAACGGGUGGUGAACUCCAUCUAAAGCUAAAUAUUGGCGAGAGACUGAUAGCGAACAAGUACCGUGAGGGAAAGAUGAAAAUCACUUUGGAAAGAGAGUGAAACAGUACAGUGAAAUUGUUGAAAGGGAAACGCUUAAAGUCAGUCGCGUCGACCGAGACUCAGCCUCCCUCCGGCUUGGUGUAUUUCUCGGCCCGACGGGUCAGCCUCAAUUUUGCCCCUCGCAUAACGGCAAGGGAAAGCUGGCACCUUUGCGGGUGUGUUAUAGUCUUUUGUCGCAUGCGACGGGUGGGAUUGAGGAACUCAUCACGCGCGCCCUUCUCGAUGUGUCGGGGCCUCAGCCCCCGCCACUUGCCUUAGGAGGCUGGCGUAAUGGCUUUAAACGACCCGUCUUGCAACACGG